CGGGUGAGUAACGCGUGGGUAACCUGCCUCAUACAGGGGGAUAACAGUUAGAAAUGACUGCUAAUACCGCAUAAGCGCACAGAAUCGCAUGAUUCGGUGUGAAAACUACCGGUGGUAUGAGAUGGACCCGCGUCUGAUUAGCUAGUUGGUGGGGUAAAGGCCUACCAAGGCGACGAUCAGUAGCCGACCUGAGAGGGUGAUCGGCCACAUUGGGACUGAGACACGGCCCAAACUCCUACGGAAGGCAGCAG
This 251-nucleotide ribosomal RNA is filed under the name uncultured bacterium. RNAcentral describes it as "partial 16S ribosomal RNA". It matches the Rfam family "Bacterial small subunit ribosomal RNA", at positions 103 to 354 of the family's 1533-position model. The record is from RNAcentral.